AUUGAACGCUGGCGGCAGGCCUAACACAUGCAAGUCGAACGAGUGGCGGACGGGUGAGUAAUGUCUGGGAAACUGCCUGAUGGAGGGGGAUAACGACUGGAACCGGUAGCUAAUACCGCAUAACAUCAGAUGUGCCCAGAUGGGAGUAGCUAGUUGGUGGGGAAACGGCUAACCAAGGCGAAGAUCACUAGCUGGUCUGAGAGGAUGACCAGCCACACUGGAACUGAGACACGGUCCAGACUCCGACGGGAGGCAGCAGUGGGGAAUAUUGCACAAUGGGCGCAAGCCUGAUGCAGCCAGGCCGCGUGUAUGAAGAAGGCUUUCGGUUUGUAAAGUACUGUCAGCGGGGAGGCGUUACCCGCAUAAGAAGCACCGGCUAACUCCGUGCCAGCAGCCGCGGUAAUAC
This 406-nucleotide ribosomal RNA is filed under the name uncultured bacterium. Its description in RNAcentral is "partial 16S ribosomal RNA". It matches the Rfam family "Bacterial small subunit ribosomal RNA", at positions 30 to 526 of the family's 1533-position model. The record is from RNAcentral.